AGUGGCGAACGGGUGAGUAAUACGUGAGUAACCCGCCCUUGACUCUGGGAUAAGCCUGGGAAACCGGGUCUAAUACUGGAUAUGACCUCCUGUCGCAUGGUGGGGGGUGGAAAGGGUUUGUACUGGUUGUGGAUGGGCUCACGGCCUAUCAGCUUGUUGGUGGGGUAAUGGCCUACCAAGGCGACGACGGGUAGCCGGCCUGAGAGGGUGACCGGCCACACUGGGACUGAGACACGGCCCACACUCCUACGGCAGGCAGCAGUGGGGAAUAUUGCACAAUGGGCGCAAGCCUGAUGCAGCGACGCCGCGUGAGGGAUGACGGCCUUCGGGUUGUAAACCUCUUUCAGCACGGAAGAAGCGAAAGUGACGGUACGUGCAGAAGAAGCGCCGGCUAACUACGUGCCAGCAGCCGCGGUAAUACGUAGGGCGCAAGCGUUGUCCGGAAUUAUUGGGCGUAAAGAGCUCGUAGGCGGCUUGUCGCGUCUGCUGUGAAAGCCCGGGGCUUAACCCCGGGUGUGCAGUGGGUACGGGCAGA
This 535-nucleotide ribosomal RNA is filed under the name uncultured bacterium. RNAcentral describes it as "bacterial SSU rRNA". It matches the Rfam family "Bacterial small subunit ribosomal RNA", at positions 94 to 640 of the family's 1533-position model. The record is from RNAcentral.